RNAcentral lists this ribosomal RNA (489 nucleotides) under uncultured bacterium. Its description in RNAcentral is "partial 16S ribosomal RNA". It matches the Rfam family "Bacterial small subunit ribosomal RNA", at positions 28 to 507 of the family's 1533-position model. The record is from RNAcentral.
GACGAACGCUGGCGGCGUGCUUAACACAUGCAAGUCGAACGGAAAGGCCCCCAUCUUGGUGGGGGUGCUCGAGGGGCGAACGGGUGAGUAACACGUGGGUGAUCUGCCCUGUACUUCGGGAUAAGCUUGGGAAACUGGGUCUAAUACCGGAUAGGCCCAUGGUUUAGUGUCUGGGGGUGGAAAGAUUAUUGUUUUGGUGCAGGAUGAGCUCGCGGCCUCUCGGCUUGUUGGUGGGGUAAUGGCCUACCAAGGCGUCGUCGGGUCGCCGGCCUGAUGGGUUGGACGGCCACAGGGGGACUGGGCUACGGUGGGGCUGAGUUAGGGAGGAAGCAGUUAGGGAUAGUGGACGAUGGGAGCAAGGCUGAUGGAGCGGAGGCGUGUGGGGGAUGCCGGCCGUCGGGGUGGAAGGUCCUUGCGUUAGGGACGAAGCCGGACUUUUAUUGGGUGUGGGGAAGGGACAUUGGUUAAGAAGCACCGGCUAACUACGUG